UGCGCAGGCGGGCAAUUAAGUCAGAGGUGAAAUCCCACAGCUCAACUGUGGAACUGCCUUUGAUACUGGUUGUCUUGAGUUACAGUGAAGUAGAUAGAAUAUGUAGUGUAGCGGUGAAAUGCAUAGAUAUUACAUAGAAUACCGAUUGCGAAGGCAGUCUACUAACUGUAUACUGACGCUAAUGGACGAAAGCGUGGGGAGCGAACAGGAUUAGAUACCCUGGUAGUCC
This 229-nucleotide ribosomal RNA is filed under the name uncultured bacterium. Its description in RNAcentral is "partial 16S ribosomal RNA". It matches the Rfam family "Bacterial small subunit ribosomal RNA", at positions 568 to 796 of the family's 1533-position model. The record is from RNAcentral.